GGCAGCUUGGCGCAGUUGGUUAGCGCGCUUGCUUCACAAUUGUCGAAAGGCAUUGUGUGGUCGCAAGAGGUCCUGGGUUCGACCCCCAGAGUCGUCA
Non-coding RNA from Ceraceosorus guamensis, 97 nucleotides. Lineage: Eukaryota; Fungi; Basidiomycota; Exobasidiomycetes; Ceraceosorales; Ceraceosoraceae. The record is from the annotation of a RefSeq genome assembly.